GGGGGUACUCGAGCGGCGAACGGGUGAGUAACACGUGAGCAACCUGCCCCUGACUCUGGGAUAAGCCCGGGAAACUGGGUCUAAUACCGGAUAUGACGCACUCUCGCAUGGGAUGUGUGUGGAAAGUUUUUCGGUUGGGGAUGGGCUCGCGGCCUAUCAGCUUGUUGGUGGGGUGAUGGCCUACCAAGGCGACGACGGGUAACCGGCCUGAGAGGGCGACCGGUCACACUGGGACUGAGACACGGCCCAGACUCCUACGGGAGGCAGCAGUGGGGAAUAUUGCGCAAUGGGCGGAAGCCUGACGCAGCGACGCCGCGUGGGGGAUGACGGCCUUCGGGUUGUAAACCUCUUUCAGCAGGGACGAAGCUAACGUGACGGUACCUGCAGAAGAAGCGCCGGCUAACUACGUGCCAGCAGCCGCGGUAAUACGUAGGGCGCAAGCGUUGUCCGGAAUUAUUGGGCGUAAAGAGCUCGUAGGCGGUUUGUCGCGUCUGUCGUGAAAGCCCACGGCUUAACUGUGGGUCUGCGGUGGAUACGGGCAGACUAGAGGCAGGUAGGGGAGAAUGGAAUUCCCGGUGUAGCGGUGAAAUGCGCAGAUAUCGGGAGGAACACCGGUGGCGAAGGCGGUUCUCUGGGCCUGUACUGACGCUGAGGAGCGAAAGCGUGGGGAGCGAACAGGAUUAGAUACCCUGGUAGU
This 697-nucleotide ribosomal RNA is filed under the name Actinomadura madurae. Its description in RNAcentral is "bacterial SSU rRNA". It matches the Rfam family "Bacterial small subunit ribosomal RNA", at positions 83 to 794 of the family's 1533-position model. The record is from RNAcentral. Lineage: Bacteria; Bacillati; Actinomycetota; Actinomycetes; Streptosporangiales; Thermomonosporaceae.